AAUUGUGGUGGUUUUCUUUCUGGCACAUUUGUUAAGUUUUCAAAUGGGCCUGACUCUGCCACAUAUAUUAUAUAGGAGCUGGCAAAGGUUUGAUGACAAAGAAAUUUCUCUCUAGCCUUUCCCAUAUCAAAGAUAAGCUCCCACAUGU
Pteropus vampyrus (large flying fox) is the source of this 148-nucleotide small nucleolar RNA. The record is from Ensembl. Lineage: Eukaryota; Metazoa; Chordata; Mammalia; Chiroptera; Pteropodidae.